CCCGUAAAACGAUGUUCGACUAGCCCGUUGGGCUUCCUUGAGAGCUUUUGUGGGCGCAGUUAACCGCGAUAAGUCGACCCGCCUGGGGAGUACGGCCGCAAGGUUAAAACUCAAAUGAAUUGACGGGGGCCCGCACAAGCGGUGGAGCAUGUGGUUUAAUUCGAUGCAACGCGAAGAACCUUACCUACCCUUGACAUCGAGAGAACUUUCCAGAGAUGGAUUGGUGCCUUCGGGAGCUCUCAGACAGGUGCUGCAUGGCUGUCGUCAGCUCGUGUUGUGAAAUGUUGGGUUAAGUCCCGUAACGAGCGCAACCCUUGUCCCUAUUUGCCAGCGAUUCGGUCGGGAACUCUAGGGAGACUGCCGGUGACAAACCGGAGGAAGGUGGGGACGACGUCAAGUCAUCAUGGCCCUUACGGGUAGGGCUACACACGUGCUACAAUGGCCGGUACAAUGGGUUGCGAAUCCGCGAGGUGGAGCUAAUCCCAUAAAGCCGGUCUCAGUCCGGAUCGGAGUCUGCAACUCGAC
This 525-nucleotide ribosomal RNA is filed under the name Halomonas sp. Its description in RNAcentral is "bacterial SSU rRNA". It matches the Rfam family "Bacterial small subunit ribosomal RNA", at positions 798 to 1316 of the family's 1533-position model. Lineage: Bacteria; Pseudomonadati; Pseudomonadota; Gammaproteobacteria; Oceanospirillales; Halomonadaceae. The record is from RNAcentral.